Ornithorhynchus anatinus (platypus) is the source of this 138-nucleotide small nucleolar RNA. Lineage: Eukaryota; Metazoa; Chordata; Mammalia; Monotremata; Ornithorhynchidae. The record is from RefSeq and is a predicted model, not a curated record.
CACCUCUCAGGGUCAUACAUGGAGAGUUUUCAGUCCUCUACCAGUCUUGACUAUGUGAGGGAGAGUCAAGCAGAAGCAUACCCAUUCCAUUCCUAGCUAGGGCAGUGGCUAGCAAGCGGAAGGCAAUCUGCUACAUGU